RNAcentral lists this ribosomal RNA (708 nucleotides) under Lactiplantibacillus plantarum. Its description in RNAcentral is "bacterial SSU rRNA". It matches the Rfam family "Bacterial small subunit ribosomal RNA", at positions 88 to 782 of the family's 1533-position model. Lineage: Bacteria; Bacillati; Bacillota; Bacilli; Lactobacillales; Lactobacillaceae. The record is from RNAcentral.
UGAGUGAGUGGCGAACUGGUGAGUAACACGUGGGAAACCUGCCCAGAAGCGGGGGAUAACACCUGGAAACAGAUGCUAAUACCGCAUAACAACUUGGACCGCAUGGUCCGAGUUUGAAAGAUGGCUUCGGCUAUCACUUCUGGAUGGUCCCGCGGCGUAUUAGCUAGAUGGUGAGGUAACGGCUCACCAUGGCAAUGAUACGUAGCCGACCUGAGAGGGUAAUCGGCCACAUUGGGACUGAGACACGGCCCAAACUCCUACGGGAGGCAGCAGUAGGGAAUCUUCCACAAUGGACGAAAGUCUGAUGGAGCAACGCCGCGUGAGUGAAGAAGGGUUUCGGCUCGUAAAACUCUGUUGUUAAAGAAGAACAUAUCUGAGAGUAACUGUUCAGGUAUUGACGGUAUUUAACCAGAAAGCCACGGCUAACUACGUGCCAGCAGCCGCGGUAAUACGUAGGUGGCAAGCGUUGUCCGGAUUUAUUGGGCGUAAAGCGAGCGCAGGCGGUUUUUUAAGUCUGAUGUGAAAGCCUUCGGCUCAACCGAAGAAGUGCAUCGGAAACUGGGAAACUUGAGUGCAGAAGAGGACAGUGGAACUCCAUGUGUAGCGGUGAAAUGCGUAGAUAUAUGGAAGAACACCAGUGGCGAAGGCGGCUGUCUGGUCUGUAACUGACGCUGAGGCUCGAAAGUAUGGGUAGCAAACAGGAUUAGA